RNAcentral lists this non-coding RNA (148 nucleotides) under Pan paniscus (pygmy chimpanzee). RNAcentral also lists the same sequence under 1 other name. Lineage: Eukaryota; Metazoa; Chordata; Mammalia; Primates; Hominidae. The record is from Rfam by way of RNAcentral.
GCUGGGCUUAGUGGCGUGCGCCUGGAGUCCCAGUUACUUGGGUGGCUGAGGCAGGAGAAUCACUUGAACCUGGGAGGUCGAGGCUGCAGUGAGCUGAGAUCAUGCCACUGCACUCCAGCCUGGGUGACAAAGUGAGACCCUGUCUCAA